AGAACUUAGCAGAGAUGCUUUGGUGCCUUCGGGAACUCUGAGACAGGUGCUGCAUGGCUAUCGUCAGCUCGUGUUGUGGAAUGUUGGGUUAAGUCCCGCAACGAGCGCAACCCUUAUCCUUUGUUGCCAGCGGUUAGGCCGGGAACUCAAAGGAGACUGCCAGUGAUAAACUGGAGGAAGGUGGGGAUGACGUCAAGUCAUCAUGGCCCUUACGAGUAGGGCUACACACGUGCUACAAUGGCGCAUACAAAGAGAAGCGACCUCGCGAGAGCAAGCGGACCUCAUAAAGUGCGUCGUAGUCCGGAUUGGAGUCUGCAACUCGACUCCAUGAAGUCGGAAUCGCUAGUAAUCGUGGAUCAGAAUGCCACGGUGAAUACGUUCCCGGGCCUUGUACACACCGCCCGUCACACCAUGGGAGUGGGUUGCAAAAGAAGUAGGUAGCUUAACCUUCGGGAGGGCGCUUACCACUUUGUGAUUCAUGACUGGGGUGAAGUCGUAACAAGGUAAGCGUAGUGCU
This 517-nucleotide ribosomal RNA is filed under the name uncultured bacterium. RNAcentral's name for it is "bacterial SSU rRNA". It matches the Rfam family "Bacterial small subunit ribosomal RNA", at positions 992 to 1509 of the family's 1533-position model. The record is from RNAcentral.